RNAcentral lists this long non-coding RNA (836 nucleotides) under Heterocephalus glaber (naked mole-rat). RNAcentral's name for it is "lncRNA (ENSHGLG00000043909.1)". The record is from RNAcentral. Lineage: Eukaryota; Metazoa; Chordata; Mammalia; Rodentia; Bathyergidae.
CAAGAAAUGGCUAAAGGCAGCUCUGGGGCAUGAUCAGGGCUCAGAACCAAGCUCAGGACAUCCUCCAAAAGCCGCUCUUAGAUUUGUCCGGAAUUGAGCUGAAAGUGCCGUUCUUGUUGCUGUCCAGGGUGUCUAGUACUGGUCCCAGGGCUGGAAAAGACCAGUCCCUUCUGCAAGUUAGGGGCUUAGCGCCAAAGGGAACAAAGGGCUGGAGGGAGCCAUUCAUCCUUGGCUAGGGAUUAAGGGGCUGUAGGGCACAAGGUGGAGCCAAGCCACUUCUAAUUCUGCACCAUGAAGAUGGCUCAAAGGGAAGACAUGUGCAGAACACAUUUGGGCCUCAGGAACUGGCCAGAGCAACAUGUGUCCUGGCCCAGGCAGGGUGGCCCCAAGUUCCCUGCAGACAGAGAUGCCAAGGGGUCCAAGGGGGUCUCCUAAGGAGGAGAUGAGGACUUCAACUCACUCCAGGCACAAGGGUUAUGCUCUGCUAACGCUGCCGGAAAUGACUUGGAUUAAAUGACAUGAAUCGGGAAGCCAGGGCCAUCAGAAGUGGUUUUGUGAAGAAACACAGGGAAGGUCACCAGGUCACUCUCAUCCCUUCAUUCUCUCUCUCUGAAUACCUGAUAGACUGUAAAAUAGAGCUCACCGAACGCACCAAGUCUGUGUGUACUUUCAGUAUCUAAGGAGUAAACACCCUGUGAAGUGUCAGCUGGGACCAGGAGCAUGAUUGCUACCACUGAGGCCCCCACAGAUCCCCUGUCACUGAUGCCUCCGUCCCCCCCGGGGUGCGGAAAACUUCCGUGGAAGGAGCUGUCUAAAGGGAACACGGAGUAAAGAAC